CGUCCGGCGACCGGCGCACGGGUGAGUAACNCGUNUGCAACCUGCCCUCUUCAGGGGGACAACCUUCCGAAAGGGAGGCUAAUCCCGCGUAUAUCGGUUUCGGGCAUCCGAGAUCGAGGAAAGAUUCAUCGGAAGAGGAUGGGCAUGCGGCGCAUUAGCUAGACGGCGGGGUAACGGCCCACCGUGGCGACGAUGCGUAGGGGUUCUGAGAGGAAGGUCCCCCACACUGGUACUGAGACACGGACCAGACUCCUACGGAAGGCAGCAG
This 268-nucleotide ribosomal RNA is filed under the name uncultured bacterium. RNAcentral's name for it is "partial 16S ribosomal RNA". It matches the Rfam family "Bacterial small subunit ribosomal RNA", at positions 85 to 354 of the family's 1533-position model. The record is from RNAcentral.